Molecule: non-coding RNA, 513 nt
Organism: Nelumbo nucifera (sacred lotus)
Lineage: Eukaryota; Viridiplantae; Streptophyta; Magnoliopsida; Proteales; Nelumbonaceae
Source: RefSeq, a predicted model, not a curated record
GCCAACCCCAAAUGUGAAAGUUCAGCAAGCUGAGGAAGUGACGCAUCAGUUCUGCAGCUCUAAUAUUGGGAUCACUGGAACUGAUUCUGAAAUUGGAAUUCACUGAAGUUGACCUGAAGGGAAUGAAUAGGAUGUGGAAAGAGAGAUUGAAGAUUUCCCGAGUAGAAUUGCAAAAUUCUUCUCAUCUGCCUUGAAAUCCUAGUCUAGUGCCAAAUCUUUUUUGGGAAGCUCCAGAACCAGGACAGUUGAAACUAAAUAGUGAUGGUAGUUUUUUGAACCCGAGAUGCUUAGGUUUUGGUGCUGUAUUGAGAGACUCUGCAGGAAUUGUAGUAGCUUCAUCUUUUGGUAAAACUACAACUUCCUCCCCCAUCCAAGCAGAAGCAAUGGCAAUUCUCAACAGUUUGGAAAUUCUGAAUCAUUUUGAGAAAGAAACUCAAUGGAAUCAGACUGUCUAGCUCUAGUGCAAGCGCUGACCUCUAAGAACUUUGACUUGGCAUUGGACGCAAUUUUUUU